Molecule: ribosomal RNA, 164 nt
Filed under: Poitea paucifolia
Lineage: Eukaryota; Viridiplantae; Streptophyta; Magnoliopsida; Fabales; Fabaceae
Description: 5.8S ribosomal RNA
Rfam family: 5.8S ribosomal RNA
About the family: 5.8S ribosomal RNA (5.8S rRNA) is a component of the large subunit of the eukaryotic ribosome. It is transcribed by RNA polymerase I as part of the 45S precursor that also contains 18S and 28S rRNA. Functionally, it is thought that 5.8S rRNA may be involved in ribosome translocation.
Source: RNAcentral
UAUAAUGACUCUCGGCAACGGAUAUCUCGGCUCUUGCAUCGAUGAAGAACGUAGCGAAAUGCGAUACUUGGUGUGAAUUGCAGAAUCCCGUGAACCAUCGAGUCUUUGAACGCAAGUUGCGCCCGAAGCCAUUAGGUUGAGGGCACGUCUGCCUGGGUGUCACA